RNAcentral lists this ribosomal RNA (496 nucleotides) under uncultured bacterium. RNAcentral describes it as "partial 16S ribosomal RNA". It matches the Rfam family "Bacterial small subunit ribosomal RNA", at positions 28 to 507 of the family's 1533-position model. The record is from RNAcentral.
GAUGAACGCUGGCGGCGUGCCUAAUACAUGCAAGUCGAGCGAACAGACGAGGAGCUUGCUCCUCUGACGUUAGCGGCGGACGGGUGAGUAACACGUGGAUAACCUACCUAUAAGACUGGGAUAACUUCGGGAAACCGGAGCUAAUACCGGAUAAUAUAUUGAACCGCAUGGUUCAAUAGUGAAAGACGGUUUUGCUGUCACUUAUAGAUGGAUCCGCGCCGCAUUAGCUAGUGGUAAGGUAACGGCUUACCAAGGCAACGAUGCGUAGCCGACCUGAGAGGGUGAGCGGCCACAUGAGAACGGAGACACGGUCCAGACUCCGAGGGGAGGCAGCAGUAGGGAAUCUUCCGAAAUGGGGGAAGGCCUGAGGGAGCACCGCGGCGGGAGUGAUGAGGGUCUUGGGAUCGAAAAACUUUGUUUUGAGGAAAAAAAAAAUGUGUAAGUAACUAUGCCCGUCUGGACGGUACCUAAUAAGAAAGCCCCGGCUAACUACGUG